This 481-nucleotide ribosomal RNA is filed under the name Glyphidrilus peninsularis. Its description in RNAcentral is "partial small subunit ribosomal RNA". It matches the Rfam family "Bacterial large subunit ribosomal RNA", at positions 1829 to 2597 of the family's 2925-position model. The record is from RNAcentral. Lineage: Eukaryota; Metazoa; Annelida; Clitellata; Crassiclitellata; Almidae.
UGCCUUUCGACUAAUAAUUAAAGGUAACUCCUGCCCAGUGAAAAUUUUCAACGGCCGCGGUACCCUAACCGUGCAAAGGUAGCAUAAUCACUUGUCUAUUAAUUGUAGACUAGAAUGAAUGGAUAAACGAAAUAAGCUCUGUCUUUUCUAGUUUUAUAAAAAUUAUACUUUAAAUGAAGAUAUUUAAAUAAUAGUGAAGGACAAGAAGACCCUAUAGAGCUUUAUUUUAAGGAAGGUGUAUCUCUUCUUAAGAAAUUCGGUUGGGGCGACCAAGGGAUAAAAAUCACCCUAUAUUAUUCAGAUAUAUUAAUCUUACAAAUGACCCUUUUAAGAUCUCGAGAACAAGCUACCUUAGGGAUAACAGGCUAAUCUCUCUAAAGAGUUCUUAUCUACAGUGAGGGUUGGCACCUCGAUGUUGGCUUAGGGUAUCUAUGUGGCGCAAAAGUCACAAAAAGAUGGUUUGUUCAACCUUUAAUUCCCU